UACGUAGGGUGCAAGCGUUAUCCGGAAUUAUUGGGCGUAAAGAGCUCGUAGGCGGUUUGUCGCGUCUGCCGUGAAAGUCCGGGGCUCAACUCCGGAUCUGCGGUGGGUACGGGCAGACUAGAGUGAUGUAGGGGAGACUGGAAUUCCUGGUGUAGCGGUGAAAUGCGCAGAUAUCGGGAAGAACACCUGUGGCGAAGGCGGCUCUCUGGGACGGUACUGACGCUGAGACGCGAAAGCGUGGGGAGCAAACAGG
RNAcentral lists this ribosomal RNA (253 nucleotides) under uncultured bacterium. RNAcentral describes it as "partial 16S ribosomal RNA". It matches the Rfam family "Bacterial small subunit ribosomal RNA", at positions 524 to 776 of the family's 1533-position model. The record is from RNAcentral.